This 483-nucleotide ribosomal RNA is filed under the name uncultured bacterium. RNAcentral describes it as "bacterial SSU rRNA". It matches the Rfam family "Bacterial small subunit ribosomal RNA", at positions 41 to 540 of the family's 1533-position model. The record is from RNAcentral.
GGCGGGCUCAAACAUGCAAGUCGCACGCGAAAGGUAGCAAUACCGAGUAGAGUGGCGCACGGGUGAGUAACACGUAAUUAACUUCCCCUCUCGCUGGGGAUAACUCCGGGAAACCGGAGCUAAUACCGAAUGACCUCUUUUAGUCUGCGGACUAGACGAGUAAAGCCUUACGGUGCGAGAGGAUAGGGUUGCGGCCUAUUAACUUGUUGGUGGGGUAAUGGCCUACCAAGGUUACGAUAGGUAGCUGGUCUGAGAGGACGAUCAGCCACACUGGAACUGACACACGGUCCAGACUCCCACGGGAGGCAGCAGUUGGGAAUUUUGGACAAUGGGCGCAAGCCUGAUCCAGCCACGCCGCGUGAAUGAUGAAGGCCUUCGGGUCGUAAAGUUCUUUUAGUUGGGAAAAACACAAUGAUGGUACCAACAGAAAAAGCACCGGCUAACUCCGUGCCAGCAGCCGCGGUAAUACAGAGGGUGCAAGCG